This 431-nucleotide ribosomal RNA is filed under the name uncultured bacterium. Its description in RNAcentral is "partial 16S ribosomal RNA". It matches the Rfam family "Bacterial small subunit ribosomal RNA", at positions 29 to 506 of the family's 1533-position model. The record is from RNAcentral.
AACGAACGCUGGCGGCAGGCUUAACACAUGCAAGUCGAACGCACCUUUCGGGGUGAGUGGCAGACGGGUGAGUAACGCGUGGGAAUCUACCCUUCUCUACGGGAUAGCUCCGGGAAACUGGAAUUAAUACCGUAUACGUCCUGAGGGAGAAAGAUUUAUCGGGGAAGGAUGAGCCCGCGUUGGAUUAGCUAGUUGGUGGGGUAAAGGCCUACCAAGGCGACGAUCCAUAGCUGGUCUAAGAGGAUGAUCAGCCACAUUGGGACUGAGACACGGCCCAACCCCCGCGGGGGGGCAGCAGUGGGAAAUAUUGGACAGGGGCCGCAGCCCUGACCCACCCUGCCCGGGGGAGUGAUGAGGGCCUUAGGUUGUAAAGGCCCUUUCAGGGGGGAGGAAAUGACCGUACCCAAAAAAAGAACCCCCGGCAACUUCCU